UGAAGAUAGAGUUUCGAGAUCAGGAACAAGAUGGCACAGUUGUACAUAGUGGAAGAAUUCGAAGAGAGGCGAAUUAAGGGAAGUGGUAAGAGCUUCCUGAUUGGAAUGGUAUGGGAAAGCGUGAAAAAGGGAGAUAGUACUGUGGAGGAAACUGUCGUGAAAAGUCAGGUAGUACCAUGCUACGUUAACGAUGUAAAUACCGAAAUGGCACGAAGACUCUUAGCGUUAAACGCACGAACAAGAAUAGUAAUGACGAACAUAACAAGGUUGCCCGGUAGUCUAAGAGCUACUAAAACUAGCAAGGUGCUUGCAAGGGUAAGUGAUUUUCCGGUAUGCAUGGAAACUGUAGAAUCUUUUAUUAAACCUGAGGUAGUGUCUGUCGCGGAGGCGAGAGGAUCGCCAGUAAAAAGAAGAAUGAGUGUUUGUGGAGAUGUUGUAGAGAUUGGAGAAUUUGUUGAUGGUCAUGCCUAUAAAAGGCGUUCUCUUCAAUUAGAAGACGGUGGUUCUGUGGGGAGAGAAUGCGAAAGUUAAUUUAUCAUCAGGAGAUAGUGUGACAAUUACUGCCGUAGUAAAAGACCAUGGGAGGGUGAUUUCGACACUGUCAAGUACUGUUGAAUGUUCUUCAACUUCAAAGACUUCUGAAAAGACAGGAGUGAUAAUUUCUGUAGAUGUUGAGAGUGGGUUUCCAAUAGAAGUGAUUAUGGAGACAGGAGAAUCAGUGCAUAUUCCAGAAGAUGUGGCGUUUGAUUAUGAAGUACAAUUGCCAGUUAAAGUAAAAUAUGUAAUGUCAUGUGGAAUGGUAGCAUCUAUUAGUACACUGUAAAAACUGCGUUUAGAUUAUAUAAAUCCAUAGCUUGUACUCACUUUUUCUACAUGUUUAGUUUGAUACAUGUUUAGCUUUGCCAGAUGUUUAGAUUUUAAAUGCAUAGUUUGUACCCACUUUUUCCACACAUUUAGCUUGAUACAUGUUUAGCUUUGCCAGAUGUUGAGAUUCUAAAUGCAUAGCUUGUACCCACUCUUUCUACACGUUUAGUUUGAUACAUGUUUAGCUUUGCCAGAUGUUUAGAUUCUAAAUGCAUAGCUUGUACCCACUUUUUCCACACAUUUAGCUUGAUGCAUGUUUGGCUUUUCCAAGUGUUUAGAUUUUAAACAUGUUGUCUAUACUAACUUUGUCCACACAUGUAAUCCAAUACGUGUUUAGCUUUUGGCAUGUGUUUAGUUUUCGAAGUUGCCAUAAGCUUGAAUCAUUGUCUGCGAUCAUACUGUUUGUGACAUUUUGAGCAGAAUAAAUUUGGAUUUGAAGAUA
This is an RNA transcript of Anneissia japonica, 1306 nucleotides long. RefSeq lists it as uncharacterized. The record is from RefSeq and is a predicted model, not a curated record. The transcript is spliced from 5 exons. Lineage: Eukaryota; Metazoa; Echinodermata; Crinoidea; Comatulida; Comatulidae.